Molecule: small nucleolar RNA, 84 nt
Organism: Benincasa hispida (wax gourd)
Lineage: Eukaryota; Viridiplantae; Streptophyta; Magnoliopsida; Cucurbitales; Cucurbitaceae
Product: small nucleolar RNA R160
Source: RefSeq, a predicted model, not a curated record
UUCAAAAUGAUGAGGUAUUUUUGAGGUGAACCUAUGAUGUGCCUAACUCAUAUCAAACAAUGCCUUCAAAGUUCUCUGAUUGAU